Molecule: long non-coding RNA, 463 nt
Organism: Esox lucius (northern pike)
Lineage: Eukaryota; Metazoa; Chordata; Actinopteri; Esociformes; Esocidae
Source: Ensembl
CUCUGAUUGGCUGGUUAUUUAGAACCUUAUGUUACUUCACUUCAGUCAAAUAUUUUUGCCUGACAGAAUAUUCAGGUUUUGUUUUCCCCGAUCCAAAAUUAUAUUUCGAUAGGCUUAACGUUACUUCCGAAAUACAUUAUGAAAAUAACAAAUGAAAAAACGUUGUCAUUUGUCCAACCAAAUUAAAGUAGUUGAGCAGCAGACAAAACUGACAGAUUUCGAAAGCAACCGGAUCUUCCAUGACAACAAUGAUUGGCCAGACCUGUGGACAGUAAACACAGCGGCAGACUGGACGGCCACGGAGCACCAUGUGAGGAGCCUUUGUUGUGACGGCCCCAGCCAAGCCGCCUCGUUCCCAGGCUCCGCAUGAGGCCCUGAGACAGAAAGGCCCUGAGACGGAAAGGAGCUACGUGUCACGUCAGGGGCUAGUCUCACACAGUUCUUUUGAUAUCCCCCCAACGCC